GAUGAACGCUGGCGGCGUGCCUAACACAUGCAAGUCGAGCGGUAAGGCUCUCACAGUUUGCUUAAUCGAGAUUAAUCACAAUUAUUACUGGCUAGUAAUGAAAAGGAAGAAAUCGUUUGAGAUCGAGCAAAGCGUGAGAGUACACGAGCGGCGGACGGGUGAGUAACGCGUGGGAAUCUACCCCAAAGUGAGGGAUAAGCACCGGAAACGGUGUCUAAUACCGCAUAUGAUCUUCGGAUUAAAGCUUUAU
Molecule: ribosomal RNA, 250 nt
Filed under: uncultured bacterium
Lineage: Bacteria
Description: partial 16S ribosomal RNA
Rfam family: Bacterial small subunit ribosomal RNA
Source: RNAcentral